RNAcentral lists this transfer RNA (135 nucleotides) under marine sediment metagenome. RNAcentral's name for it is "tRNA-Thr". The stretch from base 70 to 135 matches the Rfam family "tRNA". The record is from RNAcentral.
GCUUGGGUAGCUCAGUUGGAAGAGCGCCUGGAACGUGGAGAUGGCGGUUCGACCCCGCCUGCACGCAGCGCGUGUAUAGCUUAACGGUAAAGUGCCCGACGCAGGAGGUCGAUGGUUCGAGUCCAUCCCCUCGCG